RNAcentral lists this ribosomal RNA (459 nucleotides) under Blastocystis sp. Its description in RNAcentral is "SSU rRNA". It matches the Rfam family "Eukaryotic small subunit ribosomal RNA", at positions 30 to 496 of the family's 1831-position model. Lineage: Eukaryota; Bigyra; Opalinata; Blastocystidae. The record is from RNAcentral.
GCUCGUCUCAAAGAUUAAGCCAUGCAUGUGUAAGUAUAAAUAAUUUUACUUUGAAACUGCGAAUGGCUCAUUAUAUCAGUUAUAGUUUAUUAGAAAUAUUUUACUACUUGGAUAACCGUAGUAAUUCUAGGGCUAAUACAUGAGUAAAACCUCAACUUCGGAAGAGGUGUGUUUAUUAGUAUGAAAACCAUAUAUCUUCGGAUAUAAUAGUGAGUAAUAAUAACCUUUCAUAUCGUAUGUCGUAAGAUAACGAUAGUUCUUUCAAGUUUCUGCCCUAUCAGCUUUCGAUGGUAGUAUAUGGGACUACCAUGGCAGUAACGGGUAACGAAGAAUUUGGGUUCGAUUUCGGAGAGGGAGCCUGAGAGAUGGCUACCACAUCCAAGGAAGGCAGCAGGCGCGUAAAUUACCCAAUCCUGACAUAGGGAGGUAGUGACAAUAAAUCACAAUGCGGAAUUUUUA